GGGUAAUCCUACCUGAUUUGAGGUCAAACUUUGUUUGUUGUUGUAAGGCCGAGCCCACGCACUCUCUGUCCUAUGCCGCAUUCAACGAGUUGGAUAAACCUAAUACAUUGAAACAGCUUAGUACUAAAAAGCACCACUCUUGCCAAUACUUUUCAAGCAAACGCCUAGUCCGACUAAGAGUAUCACUCAAAACCAAAUCCGAAGAUUUGAGAGAGAAAUGACGCUCAAACAGGCAUGCCCUUUGGAAUACCAAAGGGCGCAAUGUGCGUUCAAAGAUUCGAUGAUUCACGAAAAUCUGCAAUUCAUAUUACGUAUCGCAAUUCGCUGCGUUCUUCAUCGAUGCGAGAACCAAGAGAUCCGUUGUUGAAAGUUUUGAAGAUUUUUGAAUUUAAUCAACAAAUUGACUAUCGUUAAUAACUAUUCAAUAAAAUUGAAGUUUAAUAAACCUUUGGCCCAACUUGCGCCAGACCAAAGCAAUGUUUUCAAAGAAAGAAAUCACUGUGUGUAAGGUUUUUCGCCGCGCAGUUAAGCGCUGGCAAAAGAAUA
This 546-nucleotide unclassified non-coding RNA is filed under the name Kurtzmaniella sp. 1 NJ-2015. RNAcentral describes it as "sequence contains 18S rRNA gene, ITS1, 5.8S rRNA gene, ITS2". The record is from RNAcentral. Lineage: Eukaryota; Fungi; Ascomycota; Pichiomycetes; Serinales; Debaryomycetaceae.